GAUGAACGCUAGCGGGAGGCCUAACACAUGCAAGCCGAGCGGUAUUGUUUCUUCGGAAAUGAGAGAGCGGCGUCCGGGUGCGGAACACGUGUGCACCCUGCCUUUAUCUGGGGGAUAGCCUUUCGAAAGGACGUUUAAUACUCCAUAAUAUAUUGAACGGCAUCGUUUAAUAUUGAAAGCUCCGGCGGAUAUAGAUGGGCACGCGCAAGAUUAGCUAGUUGGUGAGGUAACGGCUCACCAAGGCAAUGAUCUUUAGGGGGCCUGAGAGGGUGAUCCCCCACACUGGUACUGAGACACGGACCAGACUCCUACGGGAGGCAGCAGUGAGGAAUAUUGGUCAAUGGGUGCAAGCCUGAACCAGCCAUCCCGCGUGAAGGACGACUGCCCUAUGGGUUGUAAACUUCUUUUGUAUAGGGAUAAACCUUUCCACGUGUGGAAAGCUGAAGGUACUAUACGAAUAAGCACCGGCUAACUCCGUGCCAGCAGCCGCCGUAA
This 495-nucleotide ribosomal RNA is filed under the name uncultured bacterium. Its description in RNAcentral is "partial 16S ribosomal RNA". It matches the Rfam family "Bacterial small subunit ribosomal RNA", at positions 28 to 523 of the family's 1533-position model. The record is from RNAcentral.